RNAcentral lists this long non-coding RNA (2742 nucleotides) under Olea europaea subsp. europaea. Lineage: Eukaryota; Viridiplantae; Streptophyta; Magnoliopsida; Lamiales; Oleaceae. The record is from RNAcentral.
AAAAGAGAGAAAGUAUAGAGAGGUAACUAAGUGGGAGAAGUUUAUAUCUCCGGCGAAAUUCUCGUUGGCUUCCGAAAGAUCAUUUUCUCGGUGUAUCUAUUNAGGUUACUAUAUUAAUUUAGAUUGAUUGAUAGUAAAUAUUUAAUCUCAAUAUUCGGACUUAAAAAUUCAGUUUAUUACUUGUACAAUUCGUACACUUAAGAAAUUAUGUAACCAUUUUUUGACGUUGUUGUCGAGGAUUAAAAGUCCAAAUAUUUUACAGAAACUAAAUAUUUAUUAUCAAUUUUUAUUCUAUUCUAACUUCCACCUAAAAUGACGUAGUAGCUUAUGAUCAAUCAAGAGUUUAUUUUAUAACUAAUUUAUACUAAACUGAUACUUAUUUACCCAAGUCUAACUAAUUGAUGGUGAACUUUUGAGAUUAAAUGGUUAGGAACUUCAAUUUUCACUUAGGCUAUUUAAUUUUCAUUCACUCUAACAACAUUUUAGCCACUUUUUCAUAUGUAAUAAUCAAUUAAAUUAAUUAUAUUUAUUUAAUAAUCUCUCUCGAGCAAAACUUGCCCCAUUAACGUUCCCGAAUUUACUAUAUAUCUUUAUGUAAAUUCAUACACAAGUAAAGGCAUUCAAUUGUAGUAAUUCAAUCAUAAUUGCAUAUGCUGUAAUCAUCUUUCGAUUUCUUAUAAAACAUGCCACUUAUUGCAAGAACUAGACAAAUAAACAUUCUCUUGAUCUCAAUAUUGUCUUUAAACCAAGUAAUUGGUGAUCAAGCAAUUAAAUAUUAAUUAAACAUAUAAUAGCAAUUAACACAUAAUGAAAAUUGCAAUAAAUUAAUUGAUUUAAACAAACAUUAGCCCAAGCUACGUACAUCGUUCAUAUUAGCAAUCAAUUAUUUAUCCACUCAUAAUUAUGAAAUUAAAAAAUUAAAAGGAUUAAAAACAUCACCAGGUUCAAUACAAGAAAUUAAAUAAAUCAAGAAAAUCCUAACAAUUAUUGUUCUUUGGCACUCAAUUCCCAACAAAUACAAUAAAUCAUUAAUCUCCUCAUCUAAGCAUAUAUGUUUUUGGUCAACUUGUGUUUCUCAACGUUCAAAUAAAAAAAAAAUUUGACGUACGAUUAGAAUUUAAUGUAUUUGAAUGUGUAAUUUUACCACAAAAUUGUAUCUUUAGCCUCCCUUUUUGUUUGAAUGGAGAAAUUUUAUUUAUAGACUUCAAUUUAGGUCUAAAAUAAAAUCUCAAGAUGAUAGGGAAUCAUAAUUUUAGUCAAAUUAGGAUAUCCAAAUUGUUGGAAUUUAUACUCUCCUUUGUGCGACUUGGUCACUGUUUCCUAAUUUUGUUAGGAUUGAGUUCUUAGAUAUUGCAAUUAAGUCCUUCAACAUUUAAACAUGACUCUUUGAUCCUCAAAUUUCAGAAUAUGUCAAACUUUAAUCCUUUUUUUUUUUUUUUUUCUAAUCAACUAUCAUUCAUUUUCAUGCGUUCUCGUCCAAUAUUGGGUUCUCUCCUAAACUAAUCAAUGAACAGGUAUAAUUAAGUAUCAAGGUCAUAAUAAUAACUCUUAAUGGCUACUUUUGAUUGUCAAGAUAAGUGUAAUAUUUAAACUUAUCAAAUAUUUACCAUCCAUUUUAUGGAUUGUGACAAGAAAAGUCAUAAAUGCAAGGAAUGCAAACUAGGACUGGCUGAAAGUGUAGGCCUAUAAAGGUUGAACCCCAACCUUGAAGGCCCCCACUACCCCGCCUCUAGAGUUUUGUGAGGGAGGUAAAUCGUAGAAUGUGCCCCCAACAGGUCAGGGAAUAAGAGAUGUCUGUACAUUGCGCCUACAAGGAAUCAAAUUUCAUGUCUCAGGAAUCGAACCACCACACUGCGGCAGCCAGCAAGGUGUGAGAUAACCUCACUCCUGUCCUUUACACCACUGGACUAUGCCCUGGGGGGCGUGUAGGCCUAUAGCUUACACGUUUUAAGGACAAUCAUAACGGGUUUGUAAAACCAUCCAAGUAAGAGUGAUACAAGUUAGCAUGUGCUAAGUGAAACAAGGGUUUGUAAAGACAAUUUGUACUUAGAGAGAUUUUGAUACAAAAGUGUGAGGUGGAUCAUUCCAUUCACAUGUCACAAGUUAAUUGGUCUAGAGAGAUUGAAGGAGAUUGUGCUAGUUUAGAUGUAUUUUGGACCAUAGAUUAAAUCCAAUGGUUGGAUUUAAAUCUUGUGGUCAAUUUCCUUUCUAGUCAUGUCACAUUCAUUCUUAAUCAUAGUACAAUAUUUGAAUUUGAAUUCAAAUGUUUUUGGCUAUAUAAUUACAAAACUCCUUCACUUAUUUUCAUUUAGACUUGGCAUAAUAAAAGAGAGAAAGUAUAGAGAGAUAACCAAGUGGGAGAAGUUCAUAACUUCGACAAAAUUCUUGAUGUCUUCCAGCGGAUCCUUUUAUCGGUAUAUCCAUUAUCAUUCCCAUGGACGAUGGUGUAUGAUCCGGUGUGGUACAAAUUUGAGAUCAACAUCAUAUGACACUCCAUUGGUGGUGUUGAAGAAGUUUUGAGUCGAUUGAUUUGAUUUUUUACACUUUGAGAGUUCAUGUUUCCGCAUUAUAGUUGUAAUAAUAAUUUAUACACUACAUUUUAAACUCUACAAAGAGUUGAUAUCUUCCCUCUAAGUCUAACUGUUGAGUAUCGUGGCAUGGCAUGGGUGCUUUCGUGCUGGUGAGAAAAAAAUGACUAAAUAGUCCUGGUAACUUCCUAAGAGUUCAAAGCAUGAUCGAGAG